UAUUUUUAAUAAAGAAUUUACCCAUUUGAUUAAAUAACCAAACUAUUAUAUACAUUGUUAUUAUUAUUAUUAUUUUUUGCUAUUAAAUUCUUACCUGAUCCCUAAAAAUACUUGUUAUACUGAAGAAUGAGAAUCUUGUUCCUCCCAUUUCAAUUGUCCCACUAAUUUCACAUUUAUAUAGUGGGAAACAUGUUGAAGAAAAGUAUUAAAAUAUUUUAAAGCCACAUGGGAUUAUUAAAACCUGGAAUGAGUCCUCUAAAUCAUUGAGGCAACUGUUCAUCAGAUGCUUUUCCUUAAAAAGAAGAAGAAAAAGAAGAAGAAAAAAACCCACCAACUUUGUACUUACUGGAGACCUAUAAUUCACAGCUGUUAUUUUAAGCAAUGUUCCUGGAGAACGGUCAGAGGAAUAUACUGGAACAUUGGAAGAAGAAGAAAUUAGCCAAAUUCAUCAUUUGCAUUUAAUUUUGCAUUUUCAUUCAAUUAAUUCCCCUUACUUGUCUAGCAAGACUGAACUCCUUUUAAAAGUCAUAAUUUCUUUCAGCUCAGCGUAAAUUAUGAUGCCUGAGAAUCUUGGACUAUGAAUAAUGUGGCCUAUUUUGGGGGGCUACUGUCUGUUAGUUUUGGAUGGGAAAUACAAAAGCAUUUUACACACUCAAAGCAAAGAUAGUGAGUGUUGAAAGUAAUCAAUGACUUCCUUUCAUUUCCUCUAAAUGACAAGCUUAACAAUUGCCAUGGAACUCACCAGUGCAUUCUGGAAAUCUCAUUCUGUCAUCAUAAAACUCUGACUAUAGCAACAUCUGUCUAGAGCUGGACAGAGCCCCAGUGACCCUGUGCUAACAUUGUAUCCCUGGUGGUCAGAAAGCAAGCAAGAAAGACAGUUUCAUCAUCCAUAAGACUGUUGUUUUUAUCUGAAGAAUGGAGACUGCACUCCUAAUGUUAUUAUGUGGAUUCAAGGAUGGAAUAAAAGUUAAAGCAACUAGCAUAAAAGUUCUGUUGAGGUGCUUGGGGGGAGUCGAGGCAGCAGCAGCCUGUCUUGGAAACACAAUGGAUGACAAGAUCCACAUAAGAGAAAAAAAACAAAAAACAAAACAAAACAAAACAAAACCCCCAACAACCUAAAAAGUGCUGAGUUCUUGCUAAUAUUAUCCUAAUACUGAAUGAUUUCUAUCUGCAUUUCUCUCAAUUAGAAUAAAAAUCCUUAUGUUGCUUAUGCA
This 1214-nucleotide long non-coding RNA is filed under the name Vulpes vulpes (red fox). Its description in RNAcentral is "lncRNA (ENSVVUG00000010920.1)". The record is from RNAcentral. Lineage: Eukaryota; Metazoa; Chordata; Mammalia; Carnivora; Canidae.